UUUUAGGUUAAAUCUUUUACUUUUUAUAAAAAUAGUUUUAUAAUAUUACAAAUGUUUUAAUAAAUAAUGAUAUAUAAAAAUAUUUACUAUUAAAAUAGAAAAAUUUUAACAAAACAGGGAUAGACGCCUAUUAUGAUAUUUUAAUUUAGGGUAGUUUAGUAAACCGAAAAUAGUUGGCAGUAAAAUAAUCACAUUAAGGAAUUUUAAAAAAUAAAUUGAUAGUCCUCAAUUUUAUUUACUUUAAAAAAUUUUUUGUGUGGCUGUUUAACAACAAUUUGAAAAUUUUAGUUUAAGUCAGGUUGUACAUUAUUAAUAUUUAAAGGAAUUUUUGAAAUGUAUUUAAAUUUUUAAUUUUUUUUGUAAAUAAUAUAAUACUUAAUAGUAAUCAAUAAGAAAAUAAAUUAGUUCUAUUUUAAGUUCAUAUCGUCCGUCGCUCUCUUUU
RNAcentral lists this ribosomal RNA (442 nucleotides) under Triconia umerus. RNAcentral describes it as "partial 12S ribosomal RNA". The record is from RNAcentral. Lineage: Eukaryota; Metazoa; Arthropoda; Copepoda; Poecilostomatoida; Oncaeidae.